CCUCCCCUCCUCGGCUUAUCCCCCCCCUGUCCCCCAGGGCAAGUCUGGACUUAGGAAUAGUCCAGUGAAACAGUCACUCCCGGCACCCAUAGGCAAGGAACUGGAAAGUUAAGGAAGUGCCCACCAACUGGGGAAUGACUGAACAAGUUACGGCAUAUGAAGGUGAUGGAAUACUAUUGUGCCAUAAGAAAUGAUAAAAGGUACUGUGUAAAUUGGCAAAGAUGACAAAAGGAAGUCAAUUUUGGAAGGACUGUGAGACAAUGUGCACCCUGAUGCACUGUUAGUGAAUUUGAGAAGUUGUCCUCUUCUGGAUUUCAAUAUAGAAUUAUCUCCUCCCCCCCAAAAAAAACUUGAUGAAAUUAUUCAUGCUCUAUGACCCAGCAAUACCACUUUUUGCUAUUUACCCCAAGGAAGUAAGAAACAUAAGCAAAAGUCUGAUGUAGACAAGAAUAUUUAGCACUGCAUCCUUUUGGGUGUAUAACAUUGAUUAGGAAAUGCUCCUCAAAACAAUGACAUAUGAAUUUAUGAAAUGAAUGGCAGAUUGUUAUGUAGUGUGCAAUGAAAAUAUGAAGAAUUCUGAGAAAUAUGGGAAAGUUUCAAUGAAUUAAUCCAAAGAGAAAUAAGCAGAAUGAAGAGAACCAUAUGUGCGUUGACUGUAAAUGAGAAGAUCAUUAAGGAAAGUUGAACUCUGAAUUAUGGAAAAACCAAUGAAGGUCUUGGUAAAAAAAAAAAAUGUUGGAGAAGC
This is a long non-coding RNA of Vombatus ursinus (common wombat), 745 nucleotides long. RefSeq lists it as uncharacterized. The transcript has 2 exons. The record is from RefSeq and is a predicted model, not a curated record. NCBI's taxonomy places the organism in Eukaryota, Metazoa, Chordata, Mammalia, Diprotodontia, Vombatidae.